GAACGCUAGCUACAGGCUUAACACAUGCAAGUCGAGGGGCAGCAUGAAGUUGCUGCAAACUUGAUGGCGACCGACGCACGGGUGAGUAACGCGUAUCCAACCUGGCCCGCAGUAGGGAACAGCCCGGCGAAAGUCGGAUUAAUGCCCUAUGUCUUCCUUUGCAGGCAUCCAAUGAGGAAGAAAGAUUUAUCGCUGCGGGAUGGGGAUGCGUCUGAUUAGCUUGUCGGCGGGGUAACGGCCCACCGAGGCGACGAUCAGUAGGGGUUCUGAGAGGAAGGUCCCCCCACACUGGUACUGAGACACGGACCAGACUCCUACGGGAGGCAGCAGUGAGGAAUAUUGGUCAAUGGGCGAGAGCCUGAACCAGCCAAGUAGCGUGCAGGACGAACUGCCCUAUGGGUUGUAAACUGCUUUUAUGCGGGGAUAAACUUCAGCACGUGUGCUGUUUUGCAGGUACCGCAUGAAUAAGGACCGGCUAAUUCCGUGCCAGCAGCGGC
RNAcentral lists this ribosomal RNA (497 nucleotides) under uncultured bacterium. RNAcentral's name for it is "bacterial SSU rRNA". It matches the Rfam family "Bacterial small subunit ribosomal RNA", at positions 31 to 518 of the family's 1533-position model. The record is from RNAcentral.